GCCGCCACGCCACAUCCCAGCGAUCCUGCACGCGUCCUCCUCUCCUCUCCCGUGGCCGUGGCCCGUGGGAAUACCUCAGCGGCCACAAACAGCGGUCGCCGCAUCUCACGAGGGAGAAGCUCCCUGAUGGGUGAUGGCGCCAUCGAUCGGAAUCGGAAGGGGGGACGGACGAUGGUUGUGCCGCGCGGGCGAUCGAUCGAGGUGGACGCAGCCGAGGAGAUGAGACGGCCGAUCGAUCGACGUGGACGCAGCCGAGAACGAUGGAUGAGAUGAGACUCGUUCUAAUUCCCUACCAGGUUUGGAUCUUGCUGCCCUUCCUCUUCUAUCAUGGUGUUUAUGGUUGGAGUUUUCGUCGAUUUUUUGGAAAAUUUGGUUGGGAUCCCCCUGUUUUUUCCGGCCGGGGAAGGUUGCUGACAGCCAAACCUCACAGUGCACCAGUACAAAAACAGAAUAAAACCAGACCAAAUCCAUGUUUUUGGUUCCUACUCGUAGCAUUUGUUUACAGAAUCCGGCCGGCUGCCAAAUCAUCCGUUUGGUCUCAGCUAGGCUGGCGCGGUAUUCAGCCAAAUCUUUCUUUUGGUCUCAUACGCACACGCACACUUCCAGCGCUCCCAUCCAGAAAAUUACACUUCCAGCGCUCCUAUCCAAAAAAUUACACUUCCAGCGCAGUUUUUCAUCUUACAAAAAGAUCAGGUGUUUUGCACCGCCAAAUCUUUCUUUCGUUUGGUUUCUUACGCGCAGUUUACGAACCAGUGUUUUGCACCGUCAAAAAAUAUCCAGUGCUCUCGUCAGUUCCAUGCUACUGAAUUCCCAAAAACAUUGCUUCCAGCCUCCUCCUUGCUUGCAACCUCCUCCUUGGCCUGCCUCCACCACCGCCAGUCUCUUUGCUUCCUGCAAAAUAUGUCAAACCAAUGCAUGUAAAGUAGAUCGUCCGAGAAAUUCAUCUAGAGUAUUUAUAACCAUAUACAAAUCAAACAAGCUUUAUGAUUGAUUGAUUUAUUUAAAAUUUUGGAACGAAGGACACCCCAGAUUGGGUUAAACAAAAGGUUGUGGCCUCACUGGACUUUGCAAAGCCUAGACCGAGCCGUGUCAAGUGCAUCAUAAUCUCCUAUUACUAGCUAGUUAGCUGGGCAGAGUUUACAGCAGCUGGCACAACUAGCUCACUUGACCAAAAGGUGCCCUGCUCACAAGUCACAGCAUGAUGCCUGGUUGUCCGCCUGAUUCUACUCUCUGGCCAUACCACCACUGCUUCAAAUGCCAAGAGCAUUUAUUCAGAAUGUACUAGGUCAGGACAUUUGACAUGGAGACACUGAACUCUGUGGCCUUUACUAAUGUUUUGUCCCCACUCAGAGUCUGGUCACAUCCUGUUAGGCAGAACCAGAGGCCAUGCAGCAACAAGUUUCCAUUGUCUGCAUUGCAUGGUAUGGCCAUGGACCUAUAUAUGGUCAGACUACACAAGACUAAAAAAUAGCAAUUUCUGCUGUGAACAGCAACUGAGCAUGCACCUAUGGGGAGACUGUAAGAAGCCAAUAUUUGACCCAACAAACCAGCUCUACUCUGGCCUUCAGAAACCACAUGUAUGAGCUAAGUAGCACCCAAUACAAGACCAUGUAAGCAUGCGUAGCAGCACAAUGAAAAAUAAAAACAUGCAUGACCAGAGAAAGGAGUUUAAAUCUAAACAGGAAAGACAACAUACAUGGUAGUCCCACGGCGUUGUAGAUCAACGUCCAUACAUCAGGGCACCACUGCUCGAGCUUGCGCAAAACAUCAUUUCGGCUACCCCCAAGGUGCGUCUGCAGUUAACCAAACGAUUAAUCAAUUCUAACACCUUGUUUGGCAUGCAAGCUAGAUGAAGAAUUAAUUACCUUAAUGUAUUGAGGGUAUGAGAAAUAGUGCUUCCAUAGGUUCCUCGCGAGCCUGACAAGGUCCUUAGGAUACUCAAUGAAAUAGUUCCACUUCAAAUCCCUCAUCUUUUUGGCCGCUGCUAUACCCUCGGGUCCUUGAGUUCUCAGCUCCUCCUUCUCUCGGUUUGCUCUUUCCAUCAUUGCUUUUAGCGUUUUGAGCUCCUGACACAUAUCUUCUCCAGACUCAUUUCUCGGCCACCUUAUUCCACAUUGAUUGAUGAGCUUACCAAUAUCUCGAGUAGAUGAGAAUAUGCCAAUGAGAUAUUUGCUCUUAUCUUCAUCAUUCCAAUCAAUUGGAUAAAACUUGGCAAGUCUUGGCAAAUUGUUGCCAAUGUAGACAGGACCAUGUUUUUCAAUAAAAUCACAGUAUGCCCUGGUCCCUAUGUGCAUUGGUGUAGAAACAUCGGUUGUCAUUAUUUUCUUUAAGUCCGCACAUAGUUUCACAUACAGUAUUCCCAGAUGCAUUCGAUCCUUGCCAAUCAAAUCCUCAACUGCGAAUUAGGGGAGUUUGUGAAUCGGACAGAAGUGGGAAGGAGCGAUAAAUUAAAGUAGACUAAUACAAGUUAAUAUUAAGAAACACUCGUAAGUGAAUAAUUUUGUAUGCCACCUAUAAAAAAAAUGUAAAGGUCGCAUACGGUAAUAUUUAAGUUUUAAAUUUUGCAUGCACAUACUAGUAUUCAUCCUCUACAUGCAAGAUUAUUUUUGUAUAUUUUUGUAACUUAAAUAUGUCUUCUUUUUUUCAAAAUUAUCAUAUUAGAUUCAGAUGGACCUACAUCAGAUGUGCAUUUUCCGUGUCAGCAAAUAUACAAAAUUAUAUCUAAAUAUGUUUAUAAAUAACCUCCACACAAGAAAAAACUUUGCACAACAUGACUAUAGUUUUCACUUGUAGAAUAAAAUUCUAAUAUCUUUGUAUAGAUUUUAGAGAGAGACACACUAGUCUUGAGAACAGUGCAAAAAGGAAAUUACCAUCGUCGAAGAAAACUUUGAGUUGAGGCUGACCAUUCACAGUCUUCAGAUACAGGUUGUCAAUUGUGAGCUGUUUUGGGCAGAUCUUGCGCUUAACCAUCUUGUCCAAGAUAUCACAUAGAUCUCUGUGAAACAUUAUCUCAGUAUGUUAGCGUGCAGUGGAAUUAAAGGAUUAGUACAAACUAGCCGAGCAGGUGCGGUACCCUGAAAUUCUUUCUUGCAUGCAUUGUCUAAAUGAGUCUGUAAUUGGUUCUAUUUUUUCCUCAAAAACAAUAAACUCAAAUUUUGGGAAAAUAACAUAUAUUCCAAAAUAUAGGAUCAACUAAUCAGUAGAUCGUGAUAUAUAUGUCUAUUACAUAGGUUGGAUAAUAAUUACGAUAAUUAUCAAUGAUUUAAGGCAUAAUAAACGGUGAGAGUGAACGGACCACCACCAAUUCAUAACCUAUAAGGGUAAAAGCUAUACAGUCAACUAAUCAAAAGAUUGUGAUUAUAUAAAAAAUUAAGGGGGUCCAUUCUACCACCACCACUUUAAGAAUCGUAGAUUAACUNNNNNNNNNNNNNNNNNNNNNNNNNNNNNNNNNNNNNNNNNNNNNNNNNNNNNNNNNNNNNNNNNNNNNNNNNNNNNNNNNNNNNNNNNNNNNNNNNNNNNNNNNNNNNNNNNNNNNNNNNNNNNNNNNNNNNNNNNNNNNNNNNNNNNNNNNNNNNNNNNNNNNNNNNNNNNNNNNNNNNNNNNNNNNNNNNNNNNNNNNNNNNNNNNNNNNNNNNNNNNNNNNNNNNNNNNNNNNNNNNNNNNNNNNNNNNNNNNNNNNNNNNNNNNNNNNNNNNNNNNNNNNNNNNNNNNNNNNNNNNNNNNNCUAUGUUCAUUUUCAGUGAACUGCGGUCACCCGAUGCAAUUGAAUAUUCACCUCACGUAGUUCACCUAUUCUGUAAGGGGCAGUUCACAUGUUCAUUGGGGGUCGACCAAAAAUAGCACUCAAAUCGAACCAAAAACUUGAAUGAAGUGUAAUAUAUUAAUAAGUUGCAUCUAGUCAAUACCUUUCCAACAAUAUGUCAUUUGCAUCAUUUCGUCAAGCGGUUUUAAAAUUUUGAUCAAAAUCUGCUCUUUGCAUUCGAUAUGGUCUGACCAUUUUUAAUACUGCUCUUGAACCCUAACGGAUUUGAAAAAACAUUCUACAUGAAAAAGUUGCACUCAAUUGAUAUAUUUCCAUCCAAUGGUAUACUGUAUAUCACUUGCGUCUUUUCUCAAAAAUUGGUUCGAUAUUUUCAUGCAAAAACAAUACAGAAACAGAGUACUUAUUGUAGAAUAACAUACAAGCAGUUGUAUAAUAGAUGGAACGGUUUGUCGGAAUGACACAAACAAUAUACAAUUGGAAAGAAAUCGAUUAGGCGCAAUGUUUUUAUGCUGGUUUGGUGAGUUUCUAGUUGUAGAGUAUGUCCAAAGAAUGGUUGUAGAAUAUACCCAUGACAUCUAUAUAUAAUAGUUACGGUAACGAUUCUUAGUAAUUUAAGACAUAAAUACCCACUAUAUAUAGCAGUAUAUAUGUUUUAUAUAAUAAAACGACAAUUCUUGGUAAUUUCAAAACAUAGUAACGAUCGGAGUGAAUGGACCGUCGCGAACUCAGAUCCUAUUAUAAGAAGAUAAGGUCAAGUUUUAACAUAAAGAAUACUUACAAGGUGAUUCUGCUGAAAAAGGGGGUGAAUUUGCCAUCCAUGUUUAAAAUCCUGUUGUCUUCACCGUGCUUGAGCCAUCCAUUUAAGGUACCAUCAAAAGAGCUGGCGGAUACUACAAGACGAUAAUACGGACCCGCCUUGUAGAUGUUUUGCAACACCACUACAUUUGGAUGUCUCCAGGUUUUCAUCAGCAGUAGCGAAGAAAGAAUUUUUUCUUUAGCAUCAUACCGCUUCAAAAGGCAAUCAGUAGUGAAACUCCCUACAGUAUAGGUUCCUCUGAUGAAGGUAGUAUCCACGCCAUGAAAAUCAGAAAGGUAGUCGUUUUUCCUUUUCUCUAUCUUAUUCUUAUUGCCCUUCACAGACCAGCUACGAUUUGUGUUGUCAGAAUGAAAAUACCGUGAGUAGAGUUGGUAAUCAGGUUUGUUCAACCUGGAUUCAAAAUGUUUGUAGUGAGAAAUGAGAUUGUAUUUUUUUUCACUAACGUAAUAUAAUAUUUGAAUAUGAACAUAUCGGUCUACUUGAGAAAUAUGAGAAGAUAUCAUGCUACCAACUCAAAAUUUGACAACAAAAUAGAUAUGAAAAAAAUUGCAUCAUGCUUUUAGGCGAUUUUCUAGGUACACGACGGUAAUAUACUACUCCCGGAAUCGAAAGAAGUGAGAGUACACCAUAUAUUUCUUAGAAACAAGUAACAAAUGCGUACAUGAGUGACACUUGAACUGUCGUGCAUUUACAAGGACGGUGUGAGAAAAGCCUUACCCAAUGAGAUCGGUCACGGGUGGGUUGGUCAACGAAGAAACACGAUAAUCAUCUUCCAAUUCCUCAUUUGUGCCGGUGAGCAUAUGUCUCUGUCUCUUGUAAGGAAGUUUCAUAUCAUGAUCAACACGUCGCUUCAACUCUGCAAUAUUGGCAUCAGGUUGCACCUCAACACGAUAAUCAUUGCCACACCAUUUCACUAGAACAGUAGUUAUCUCGGCCGGCACCUUCUCUCCCGGCAUAUCAGAGGAUGAGGCCAUGUCUGGAAGUUAGAAUAUAGAAUUAUUAGUGGCAUUUAUUACAUAUAAAAGAUCAUGUUGAGAGGCGUGUGUUUAACGCCGAUUUGCAUGCCAAUAUGAAGAUAAAUAAAUAUGGAGAGGUGUGUCUUUAAUGCUGAAUCGCAUGCCAACAAAGAGAAAUGAAGUAGGGCUACACACACAUUAAUUCAAGCAUUAAUUAGAUAAGCUGAAGCAACAACAAGUUUUCACCUGUCCCUUCCCAUUAAAUAAGCUGAUGCCAUGUGUGGACGUUAGAACAUACUAGUAGUAGCAUUAGUGGUACUAGUAUUUAAAUAAGCAGAAGUAACAACAAGUAUUGAUUGACGAGACUUGUUGUGUGGAACAAAGCAAAUAACAGAGAAACUGUUGAACUGCGAAGCACUGAAAAACAUUGUGUGCGUGCGUUCUAGGCCUCUAGCAAGUAAGUGAAGGCACAAAACGAGGCUAGGCUAAGUCCUUCAACUUGUUAAUUAGGAGCAAUAAAGAUGUAGAAAUAAUUCCCCACAUACACACACGACAGAUGUAGAAAUAAGAAGAGUAUCCUGACCGGUGGGUGCCUGCCAAGUGCCAACAAGUCGACCAUUCAGCGGUUGUCUAAUUUGUAUAACAUGAUCAAAUAGUGGUAAAAUGGCAAGGCCUCUUUUAGGACAAACUUAAAGCAAGAAAGAGAUGCUGGCCGAGCCAAGCUCGUGCCCGACAGAGAAAAACAAAUUCAUUUUUCCACUAGAAUUCACAAAAUUGCCAGACAUGUUGUCUUUUGCGAUUUUGUAGCAAGAUUGGCUCCAGAAUCCACAAAUCGCAAGCCCCAAAUCACAUGUGCUCCCUAUAAAUUUGCAAGCCGAACAUCGAAUAUGACCGCACCAACCUCCAGGUAGGAUUAUUAUACCUGACAUUUGCCGAAAGUCGCUGGCCUAGCAGCCGUCGUCCUCACCGGUCACGAAGCCCCGUCACCUAGCUAGGGUUACAAACAAGGUGAAGCGCAUGCGAAACAGAGCAAGUGUGGAGGAGGAGCAAGGAACACGAUGCGCUAGGCCUACCUCUAUGCUCCAGCGACAGGCCCCGCCGCCGCCGCCUCCGCCUCCGCCUCCUCCGCCGCCGCCGACGAAGAACUCGGGAACCGGUCUGUUCCCGAUAGGCUGCGUGUGCUGCUACAAAUCAGUCAGGGGUGAUGAUCGGCGCGUGCGGAUCAGGUGGGAGUGUCGGGUAGCUUACCCGGAGGCGAUAGGAACCAAUGCAGCUUCCGCCGGUCGCUCGGCCGCCGCCGCCACCGAGUUUUCGGGAGCGCUCUUCGCACCGUGGUCCGUACGGUGGAGGAGACUGGAGAGUUAGGCUGUGUGUUGGUCUUGGCGUCGUGGGAGCCCAGCCCGGCCCACCCUGUCGGGCUCCAUCCACAUGGACACGGUGCAUCGCGCGUCUUUCGUCUGUUCCUUCGCUGGGUUUUUUCAUUUCGAUUCUACUGUUGUGGGAUUGUGUUUUAGUUUUUUUAUUAGCUUUCACUUUGGUUUUUCUUUUCUUUCUAGUUUCAUUUUUUUUAUUUUAUUCCCUUCUAGUUUUUAUUUUUUGGAAUUUUCUUUUUUUUGGUUUGGUUUUCCUUUUGAUUUUCCCUCAUUUAUGUUUUUAUUAUACUAUAAACAUUUCUUCAAUAUAGUAUAAUAUGAAGAUUUUUAUGCACAGUGAACCUUUUUUAAUGUAUGAUGGCCUUUUUAUUUUAAUAUGUACACAAUGAUUAUUUUUUAAAUACAAACCGAACUUUUUAAAAAAAUUGGACAGACUACUCUUUUAAUAUGCGCUGAAUUGUUUUUCAACGUAUAAAAUGAUUUUUUUAAUGUAGUGUAUAUUAAAAAUAUCUUCACUAUAUGUCGCCUCAGUAGGGUGUCCUAGAUAGGCAACUUGGCUGAAUGGUAACAGAAAGCAAGGAUUUACCCUACGGGCUCUCACUAUGGAGAUAAAAACUCUACUCUUGCUCUCCCAUAUUGCGUUGGGUGUGUACAAAGUAUAGGAGAAUACCAAGCGAUUGUGAUUGCAUUCUACAAGUCGGCCCGGCUUAUAUAGCAUACCAGGGUUCUAGGAUUACAGAUCCUAGUCGGUUACGUCGGUGAAGGCAGAGUCCUCCACGGCUCAUGUAUCUUCGACUUGUAUGUCUUCCGGAGUUUCCGUAUAACCCGCCAUGGGCCGCAAAAAGCGGUCAAGACGAAACCGACCUAGGGGUUCUCCGCCCGGCCCACCGGGCCGAAAACCGUCGUGAUGAGAGUCCACUGGGUUGGGACAUCGUAGUAGCCAUUGAAUUAGUCUUCAAGCUUGGUUGCACAUUAGUCGCUCCAACCUGCACAUCUUCUUAGGUCGCUGGACUUGAAAUAGGUUCCUCCAUAAUGUCUCGGUGUAGUCGGCCUCCAGUUGUCGGACUACAUCUGUGGUUACGUAAACCACUUCGGGCUUGAAAAUAACAAAAGAGAUAGCCACCCUAUACGAGAGCAACUAGUUAACGAGCGCUCCUUUGGGAGCCUCGCAACGAUCAGCCACUUGACGCACUCUCAGCCAUUCGUCAGGUGUCGCGCUCUGGGCGCUCCCUCCGGAUUUUUUUUUAUUUUUUCGCACGCGUUUUCGGCUUUUAAAAAGGUUUUUUUUUGUUUUUUUGACGUUAUGGUUUUUCACCUGUCUUCCCUAGCUUUUCGACAAAAAAAAGUUAAAAAAAUUGCGCGAAAAAGGGCGUUUUUUCCUUUCACGAGAGUCACGGCCGUGCCUCUCGAAAACGGAAAAAAACGCGUUUCCUGUUUUUUUUUCUUUCGCAAGAGUCACGGUUUUGCUUCCGGUUGUGCUUUAGCAAGAGUCAUGGACGUGCCUCUCGGAAACGAAAAAAACGCGUUUUUCUUUUUCCAUUUUCUUUCGCGAGAGUCACGGUUUUGCUUCCGCGAGAGGCACGGUUGUGCUUUCGCGAGAGUCACAGCCGUGCCUCUCGGAAACGGAAAAAGACGCGUUUUGUAUUUUUUUCUUUUCGCGAGAGUGACGGUUUUGCUUCUGCGAGAGGCACGGUUGUGCUUUCGCGAGAGUCACGGCCGUGCUUCCUCGGAAAUAAAAAAACGCGUUUUCUCUUUUUUUUCCGCGAGAGGCACGGUUGUGAUUUCGUAAGAGGCACAGGCGUUCUUCUUUCGGAAAGGGGAAAACCCGUGCUCCUAGUUCGGUUUUUCGUCCGAUUUUUUUCGUGAAAAAAAAGUUCGUCAAAACCUAUCAACAUGGGAUCUAGUUUUGAAGAUCUCGAUGUGAUGAAUCCAACGGUAAAGCGGUUCGAGAUUUGGACGCACGGUUUGAGAGAUAAAAUAUUUUAAAUAAACGGAUCUACAAAAAAGAAAAAACUCCCAGGUUCCGACAAGUGGCGCUACAUAUGCGUCAUUUGUCGCAACCAGGGGAGUUGGAAUGGUCUUUGCAACAAGUAAUCCUCAAUUAGUGAUUUCGACCCUACACAACAUAAAUGUCUCUCACACAGACGACUCUUCGUGGGCUGAAUUCUCGCGUUAUGUAUUCAAAAGUUGCCCCUGAGAGCCUAGCCCGCCACUGCUGAGAUUUUUCCUCCCGCCAUUGCUAGGAAUUCCUGCAGUAGUGUCGGUUCCCGUGUGUAAUUAACGCAAUCGUUAGGAUGCAAGGGAAUUUGCUACCACGCGGUUGGAUUAACCUUCCGUCUCUUCCUAUUUGCGAGGUGAGAGAGAGAGAGCGCGCUUUACGCACUAUAGUCGAGCCAAGGAUUGAGCCACGUCUCCGCCGCUGCCCCUUCACCAAGCUCCUGGUGGUGAAUCCUAGCUCUAGCAGCCCCUUCACCAAGCUCCUGGUGGUCUACUGGUCCUCCUCAACUCCUCUCCCGAGCAAAUCGAUGUCGGGAAGCUCAUUUUCGUCAAAGCCCAAUGCUCGUCGGCGGCGGAGAGGAAGGUUCUGACGUCGUUCGACCACCUCCUGGUGCACCACGGAUACUUGUGGAUUCGCCAUCGAGCUCCUGUCCCAUCCCCAUCAUCUCCCUGCCCCGCCGUGACCUUGACGCCAGUGAACGAUCGCCGGUAAGCAUCAUCGCGCCUGUCUCCCUCUCUCUCUUUAAAACUGACAGGGUGACCCAACCUGUCAGCCACACAUCCCACACCGAAGCGUUUUCUAAGUGGAGGCAUAAUUCCAAAUUGCGUCGUCUUUUUUUUUGCGGGGAAAAGAAUAUCUCAUAACUCAAGGAGGCUUCUCAGCCAUAGCCAAGUUUACAACAGAGUCCAACCCAGCAGAAAGCCACACCGCAAUACGAGGGGUGCAACGACCGUAAGCGGCCAACUCAUGACUAAUAUUAUUCUGUGAGCGGCUACAGCGAGCAAAUAAAAUCUCUCUAUCAUCGGUAUCAGCUAAUAUUCGGAUCUCCUCUAUGAGAAUGUGGUGCCUCGAUCUAUCUCUCGUGCGUGUUGUGAGCAACGUCACCGCCUCCGCACUGUCUAGCUCAACUAUAAUUGGAAGGUUCGUCCGGUGCAAGGCCAACUCCAGUCCUUCUCGACACGCUGCUAGCUCCGCCUCCAAGGCACUCUCACAUGCACGGAAUUCUCUACAUGCACUAUAGAUAAUCUCACCUCUAUCAUCUCGGAGAAUCAUACCUCCUCCAGCCGCACCCGUAGAAGUAAUAAAGCUGCCAUCCGUGUUUAGCUUGGUCCAGCCCGUGUCAGGGGGGACCCAUCUCGGCUGCAUCUUGGGGCCAGAGAUGACCCGAGCUGCUGGUGGUGAAGCAACGACCACCAUCUUCCCUUUCACAUGGUCUCCCGAAGGGUGUUGAUUAAUACACAGGAGCGAAGUAAUAUACUCGUGGAGGAAGCGUCGGGAGGCUUCAGUCGGAGGAGGCAUUUUGUCAUGUGUAAUCUCGUUGUGCACAUGCCAACUCCGCCACAUGGUCAUAAGCACCACCAUCCUUGUCGUGUCAUCUAGGGGUUCCAACAGUGUGAAGAGCCACUCCGGUCCGAGGUUACUGAUGGACUCCAGCUUGGGGAUGUUCCAGUCCACCGCCAUGGCACACCAUAGCUCGCUAGCUAGUGGGCACCUGCAGAAUGCGUGGAAUCCGUCCUCUCGUUCCAUGCCACAGAGGGGACAUAAGACAGUAAGCUCGAGGUGGCGAGAAAAUUUGUUGGCCCAUGUAGCAAGUGAAUUAGUCACAACUCUCCAUGCGAAGACGCGUACCUUAGGGGGAGCAGGGCACCCCCAUAUGAUCUUCCAGAUGGCGCGACGACCAUCUGGUGCCCUGCUCGUGGCGGUAGCCAAUGGACGCUCGCGCUCGUCCAUGGCAAGGCGGUAUGCGGAGCGAACGGUGAAGAUGUCGUUCUUCUCUGGUGCCCAGGCGAUGAUAUCGUCCGUGACGCGUGGUGAUGUCCGGAUGCUAGUAAUCGCAUCAACGUCCACCGGGAGGAAGUAGCGCCGAAGGAGACCCAUCCGCCAGGAGCCCCUCUCAUCUAGGAGCUCCGCCACCCUUCUGAUGCGGCAGUACCCUGUUGUGUGAUGGGUUGGCAGGAUGGCUCUCGCGGGAUCCACCGGUCGCGCCAUAUGCGGAUGUUUUGCCCGUCGCCGACACGCCAGAUGAUGCCUUUUUUAGGAGCUCGAGGCCGUAUUGGACAGCCUGCCAAGUCGGCGAGGCGUUCCCCGUGAAGACCGUAUCCUCAAGUCGUCCGUCAGGAUAAUAACGGGCCUUGAGCACCUGCGCACAUAAACUGUUAGGCUUAGUUAGCAAGCGCCAAGCCUGUCUCGCGAGGAGGGCCUGGUUGAAGAUGCGGAAGUCUAUGAAUCCCAGGCCACCCUUUGAUUUAUGAGCCUGUAUUUUUGGCCAUGCUAACCAGUGUGUUUUCCUUUUACCAUCCACCGAGCCCCACCAGAAGUUACGUACCAUUCUGUUCAGGUCAUCACACACUGACAUCGGAAGCUUGAAGACACCCAUAAUAUAGGUAGGGAUAGCCUGAGCAACCGCCUUAAUCAUGAUCUCCUUACCGGCCAGAGAGAGGGUAUCACCCCAAGCUAUAAUUCUCUUCAAGAGCCGUGAUUGCAAAUUCUGAAAUUUACCUCGCGUCAUGCGACCCUCGGGCGUUGGCAGCCCUAGUACUUCUCCUCAAAGGUUAUUGUACCAAUGCAAAGAAUUGAUCUAACCGCAUCCUGUUUAUCCAUAGUGCAUGCAUUACCAAAAAGGGCACUACACUUCGCCGGAUUGAUGCAUUGUCCCGUGGCAUUUUCAUAUGUAUUCAACACGUUCUGGACUUUCCUCGCUUGUUCCUCCUCCGCCUUAAAGAACAACAGCGUAUCGUCCGCGAACAAUAAAUGCGAAACACCUGGAGCUCGACGGCAUAUUUUCAGCGGUGUAAAAUCACAUUUUUUCUCGCCAUCUUUCAACAGAGCAGAAAGACCAUCAGCCACAAAUAAGAACAAGAACGGGGACAGUGGAUCACCUUGCCGAAGUCCACACGACGGUGCAAACGAGUCCAAGAGGGUUCCGUUAAAUUUCACUGUAUACCUCACCGAGGUGACGCAAGCCAUAAUCCAGUUCACCCAUCGGCGAGCGAAGCCCAACUUUUGCAUCAUUCGCUCCAAGAAGAUCCAGUCCACUCUGUCAUAAGCUUUAGAUAAGUCAAGCUUGUACGCACAAAAACUUUUGUUAGGUCUUUCUCCUGCUGAAUAAAAUGAAUGCACUCAAAAGCAAUUAAUGCAUUGUCUGUAAUUAACCGUCCAGGCACAAAGGCACUCUGUUCUGGAGAUAUAAUCUCAUCCAAAAUUGGCCUCAAUCGAUUCACCAAGCACUUUGCCACCACCUUAUAAAUGACAUUGCAUAAACUUAUGGGCCGGAACUCCGUGAGCCUCUCCGGGUUAUCCACCUUCGGGAUGAGAACAAUGGAGGUGUUAUUCACUCCCUCAGGCAUGACCCCUGUGCGGAAGAACUCCUUCACUCCUGCAAUUACCUGCUCCCUCAUAACCGCCCAAUUCCUUUGGAAGAAACGGGCGGGGAAACCAUCCGGACCAGGCGCCUUGAGUGGCCCAAUCUGAAAUAGAGCAUCAGCUAUCUCCUGGUCUGAAAAAUCUGCACAUAGGCCAUCAUUCAUGCUGUCAGUCACACGAGGUCUAAUAAGAUUAAUCACUGGAUCCGCACAUAGAGUUGUAUCAGCAGUAAACAAACGAGAAAAAUAAGCCGUAGCCAUGGUCUCCAUGGACUGGUGGUCCUUGUGCACAACCCCAGUAUCAUCAAUGAGGGAUUUAAUGUGGUUCUUACCAGCACGCCAUACCGCUUUCCGGUGGAAAAACUGAGUAUUACGGUCACCCUCUUUCAGCCAAGCAAUACAGGAUCUCUGCAUCCACAUCAUCUCCUCUCUAUAAAGCAAUUUGUUCAUCCGGUCUGCCGCCUCCCGAAUUUCCUUCCUAUCUGCAUUCAUAGACAUAAGCUCCUCGAGGCGAGAGCGAGAUUUAUUAAUUUCCUUAAUAACUUACCAAAUUUUUUCCGGCUCCACUCUUGCAAUUUGUGCAUCAAGGUACUCAAACCUGAGGUAAUAUCCCCAAGAUGGACCAUAGAACCCAGCUCAGUCCAUGCAUUCAUAAUUACCUCCGGGAGGGAUGGUUCCCUCUCCCACAUGACCUCGUACUGCCUGCAUCUCCUCCCCUGCAUUGGACGCGGCUCCUCCCGCUCGCAACGGAGCAAUAUAGCCAGGUGAUCGAAACUGGGCAACACCAGGUGAUCUACCUUAGCGUGAGCAAAGAUGUCACGCCAGGCAUUGUUGGCGACUGCCCGGUCAAGGCGCACCUUAACAUUCGCCCGACCUCCACGAUGGUUAUCAAAGGUGUACGGGAGGCCUGCAAAACCAAGAUCGCCCAGGCCCCAUACUUCAAGAACAUCACGAAAAUCAAUCAUCUGACCUGUCGAACGUGGUGUGUCGGAGAAGUGCUCGAAGCUCCACAUCGCCUCAUUGAAAUCUCCCACCACGACCCAUGGCAUGUCGUCCUGUUGGUGAAGAUUCCGGAGGAGAGACCACAUGCGAUGACGGUCCUCCGUCCGAGGCUCGCCGUAGACGCAGGUAAGCCUCCAUGGUGGUUCACCCGCCACAACAUCCACAUACGCAUCAAUAUAUCAUUCAUUAAUUUCUUUUACAUCAAGACUCAGGGACUCAUGCCAAUACAAAGCGAGACCACCACUGCGACCCGCACAAUCAAAAGCAUCAAAACCUCUCAAACCUAACCGAUUACGGUACCUCUGCAUUUUAUUCUUAGUCUGCCUAGUUUCACAAAGAAAGACGAUACUAGGGAAUGAGCCUGCACUAGACUCACAAGAUCUCGAACUGUCCGAGGGUUCCCACCCCCUCGGCAGUUCCAACGUAGGAUAUUCAUUGCUCCUGACGGGGCUUCGCCGGCCCCGUCAGUUCGUCGGCGGCCCCCGGGCCGACUGCCUCCAAAGUGCUGGACACCUCGUGCAUGUCCUGGUCUCCCGAUCCACCGCCAUGCUGGGUUUGCUGCCCGUCCAGCGACCCUGUACCCGCUGUUUUCAUCUGGUUCCACAGAGUCAGCGUCUGCAGUCGCGGGUUGCUGCGGCUAGCAGCCACGGAUCCUCCAUUGGAAGGCUUCGGGCAAGCAGCAUCCACAGAGGGAGCCCUGUAUGUGCCCCCACCGACCUCCAGGUUCACCUCGGCCACUGCCGUCUCUUUGUCUGCCUCGUGCGUAGACGACACCAUCCCUGUCAACAACGUUGGAGCAGCACCGAGAGCGAUGCGAUCCGGCGGCUUCCAUGGUCGUGUGUACACUCCAGCCGUAGCCCUAGGUGGCUUUUUGUAAGCAGGAUUCCCCGUUUCCUGGCCGGAGGGGAUAGGGCACCCAGAUCCAUCCUUGAGCAAUCCAUCUGGACUCCUUCCAGCGGUCUCCAUAUCGGAUACGGCAGGAUCGCCGUAGCAACCCAUGGGGGCCGACGAUCGAACAGCGGACACAGCCGCAGCAGCUUCGGCGCCCUGCCUGGGCUUAGACGCGGAGACGGGGCCACACACGGCCGGAUUGACGUCCGGCGGUGGCGGCGGCGAGGCAGUCGCCUCCAGUUCGCCACGGGCGGAAAACCCUAGCGAGCACUUUCUUCUUUCUUUCCAAAUUGCGUCUUCGACGUGGAAGCCUGAGGAAAAUCCUAUUUAUUUGUUUAAUUCAUUUUAAUUCCAGUUUGACCCCAACUUUGACCAGCCUUAUCUCCUAAAUUGAGUUCCAAUUGAGCUCAUUUUUUUUGCACUAAUUUUAUCUUAAGCUCCUUUAUUUAUUGGCAGAGUUGACAUUUUUGUGAUCUGUCUAGAAUUUUUUUUGAUAGAAUGAAAUGCUUUAUGUGUUAUUUACAAUUGCUUUUAAAAAUAUUUUUUCAGAGGAAUUAAAUAAGUGUUGAAGGCAGGAGCAUUUUCCACACUCCCUUGGAGCAAGGCAAGCCACACCCUCCACUUACAUGAUUGCAAUGCAAUGUCAUGGUUUAAAUAAUAAAACAUGGUUUACUUUGAAUUAGUUGGAAAUAGUUUAUUCAUAGCUUCUUUGGUGAUAAUGUUUGGAUAUGCUAUUUCCAUGCCUACUUUGCAUUAGUAGGAUCAACAGCUAUAUGUUCACUAUAUUCAUGAAACAACAUGACCAUGCUUGAUAUUUUACUUAUGGAGUAAGUAGAAAUGACAUGGAUAGAUUAUUCAUUGGAUUGUUAGUUGGAUAUUGCUAUGACUUGGAUCUUAGGUUGAUAAAUGAUAUUAGAGGAAUUUUUAUGACAAAUAUAAUCUCGGGGAUAUAAUUUCUCCACUCGUUGAUCAAGUCAUAGUGCCACUGAACCGAACUUUUCAGUGCAGCCACAUUUGUCUUUUAUGGAAAGGCCCUGAUUCGGUCUAUCGUUGUGCCUUUUAUCAGUAUCAUCGAAGAGGGGAGGUUACGCGUUCGUGCUACCAUGAUCAGGUAGGCGGCGAUAAUCUUGUGAUCCCGAGUUGUAUGGCCAUGGGUCCCCAUUUGGGACAGUUAUUGGGUCGCCGUUUGGGACAGUCUUAUUUAGCCACUAGGUGGCAGGUGUCACGGGGGACACCAGGACAUGGCUUGAGGGGUAUGUCAGCGAUAUGGUAGAAGUUCUACAAGGUAGACGGGUUUUGUUGAAGCAGCACCGGUCCACUCGUAGGGGAAUUGUACCGAGGUACGGGGCCAUGAGCUUCAUAGUGUGGGUAAAGUGCGCAACCUCUGCGGAGUGUUUGAAUCUAUUUGAAUAGCCGAGUCCAUGGUAUUGGAUACAAUUCAUACUAGGUCACACUAUUGAUCAAUACCGGUGAGGAAAUGACUUAUCUUUAUGGUUGAGUAAGCAACAGUUUGGCAGGAUGCCGGUGAUGAUCACUUGAUGAUUAUGAGGUGAUCACGAGGAUAAGUUGAUUGAUUGGAUAGUCAAGAGUAAGAUGGUCCAUGCGACCUUAAGCAACGAUUUAUCAUUAUAACUAGUUUAUCAACAUCAUGAUCAUUAUUUUCUUCCACACUAGUAAUAUUUGUUCAUAACUUAACUUGUUAAUGCUAUAUUAUUGUCUUGUCUUGAUGCUUCUGGUUGUUGUGAGCUUGCGAGUACAUUCAAAGUACUCACCCGACGUGUCAUGCCAAAUGCAGGUAAUGUCGUGAUUCCGUAUCUCGAGGAUCCCGAGUCUGCGAACUAGGAAUGUCCCGGCAGUGUCCCUUUGGAGUGUAGUCCAUCACCAUCGUCGUUGUACCGCUGCUACCAAUGGAGGCUAGCUUAUUCACAUACAAUAGGUGUAGUGCCACUUUGCCUCAAUAAACCUUGUACAUGAGAACCCUUGCACCCAUAGUAAUUGCAAUUAAGAGUUGUUCUGUUUUAUAUCAAGCAGUGGCGUG
Molecule: long non-coding RNA, 16420 nt
Filed under: Triticum aestivum (bread wheat)
Lineage: Eukaryota; Viridiplantae; Streptophyta; Magnoliopsida; Poales; Poaceae
Description: long non-coding RNA (TAES_LNC000779)
Source: RNAcentral